UACGUAGGGGGCGAGCGUUGUCCGGAAUCAUUGGGCGUAAAGCGCGUGUAGGCGGUUCGGUAAGUCUGCUGUGAAAGUCCAGGGCUCAACCCUGGGAUGGCGGUGGAUACUGCCGAACUAGAGUGCGGAAGAGGCGAGUGGAAUUCCCGGUGUAGCGGUGAAAUGCGCAGAUAUCGGGAGGAACACCAAUUGCGAAGGCAGCUCGCUGGGACGUUACUGACGCUGAGACGCGAAAGCGUGGGGAGCAAACAGG
RNAcentral lists this ribosomal RNA (253 nucleotides) under uncultured bacterium. RNAcentral describes it as "partial 16S ribosomal RNA". It matches the Rfam family "Bacterial small subunit ribosomal RNA", at positions 524 to 776 of the family's 1533-position model. The record is from RNAcentral.